RNAcentral lists this ribosomal RNA (253 nucleotides) under uncultured bacterium. RNAcentral describes it as "partial 16S ribosomal RNA". It matches the Rfam family "Bacterial small subunit ribosomal RNA", at positions 524 to 776 of the family's 1533-position model. The record is from RNAcentral.
UACGUAGGUGGCAAGCGUUGUCCGGAAUUAUUGGGCGUAAAGCGCGCGCAGGCGGUCCCUUAAGUCUGAUGUGAAAGCCCACGGCUCAACCGUGGAGGGUCAUUGGAAACUGGGGGACUUGAGUACAGAAGAGGAAAGCGGAAUUCCACGUGUAGCGGUGAAAUGCGUAGAGAUGUGGAGGAACACCGGUGGCGAAGGCGGCCACCUGGACGGUAACUGACGCUGAGACGCGAAAGCGUGGGGAGCAAACAGG